UAGGGAAUUUUCGGCAAUGGGGGCAACCCUGACCGAGCAACGCCGCGUGAGUGAAGAAGGCCUUCGGGUUGUAAAGCUCUGUUGUAGGGGAAGAAUGGAUUGAGUAGGGAAUGACUUAAUUUUGACGGUACCCUACCAGAAAGCCACGGCUAACUACGUGCCAGCAGCCGCGGUAAUACGUAGGUGGCAAGCGUUAUCCGGAAUUAUUGGGCGUAAAGGGUGCGUAGGCGGCUGUUUAAGUUCAAGGUUAAAGUUCGGGGCUCAACCCCGUGAUGCCUUGGAAACUGGACAGCUAGAGUACAGGAGAGGUGAGUGGAAUUCCAUGUGUAGCGGUAAAAUGCGUAGAUAUAUGGAGGAACAUCAGUGGCGAAGGCGGCUCACUGGCCUGUAACUGACGCUGAGGCACGAAAGCGUGGGGAGCAAAUAGG
Molecule: ribosomal RNA, 428 nt
Filed under: uncultured prokaryote
Also listed under: 1 other name
Description: bacterial SSU rRNA
Rfam family: Bacterial small subunit ribosomal RNA
Source: RNAcentral